This 403-nucleotide ribosomal RNA is filed under the name bacterium. RNAcentral's name for it is "partial 16S ribosomal RNA". It matches the Rfam family "Bacterial small subunit ribosomal RNA", at positions 355 to 776 of the family's 1533-position model. The record is from RNAcentral.
UGGGGAAUAUUGCACAAUGGGGGAAACCCUGAUGCAGCGACGCCGCGUGAACGAAGAAGGUAUUCGUAUCGUAAAGUUCUGUCCUAUGGGAAGAUAAUGACUGUACCAUAGAAGAAAGCUCCGGCUAAAUACGUGCCAGCAGCCGCGGUAAUACGUAUGGAGCGAGCGUUGUCCGGAAUUAUUGGGCGUAAAGGGUACGCAGGCGGUUUAAUAAGUCGAAUGUUAAAGAUCGGGGCUCAACCCCGUAAAGCAUUGGAAACUGAUAAACUUGAGUAGUGGAGAGGAAAGUGGAAUUCCUAGUGUAGUGGUGAAAUACGUAGAUAUUAGGAGGAAUACCAGUAGCGAAGGCGACUUUCUGGACACAAACUGACGCUGAGGUACGAAAGCGUGGGGAGCAAACAGG